RNAcentral lists this unclassified non-coding RNA (354 nucleotides) under Hevea brasiliensis (rubber tree). Lineage: Eukaryota; Viridiplantae; Streptophyta; Magnoliopsida; Malpighiales; Euphorbiaceae. The record is from RNAcentral.
UGUCGUCCUGUUCACCACAAUGGUAUGUUAAAAUCUGAAAUUUCAAUUGUUGCCUUCUAUAGCCUUUGUCAAAAACUUUAGAAUUCUGAAUGAGCAACCUGCUUGCACAGAACUGAAGGAUCAAAAGCUAUGCCUUCUCUGCAAUCAUUCUUAAAUUGCAUUUGACAAUGUUAGUCUGUAUAUACAUGUGUUCAACUCACUUUAACCAUGUGAAGUAUUCGUUGGUAAUGUUGCCAACAUUCCAUGAGAUCAAGUUCAAUUAAUAUCAUGGUCACUUUAACUAUGUAUUCGUUGGUAAUGUUGCCAACAUUCCAUGAGAUCAAGUUCAAUUAAUAUCAUGGUCACUUUAACUAU